ACGUGAUUGUAGCAUUAGAGCGUAUAUUAUUACACAUAGUCAUGUCAUACAGGUCACAUUAGGUGACUCCGACUCUUGUGCUAGCAUAGAUUGAUGAGCAAUAGGUUCAGUUGUACAGGUCGCAUUAGGCGACUCCGACUAAUGUGCUAGCAUAGGUUGUUGAGCACCUAAUUUUACUUAUAUUACUGUGGAGAUUUUGUGAUUUUGGGAUAUCAUGCCUUAUUUAUGUUAUGCAGACUACGGUAAGUAUUUUCAUACUAUAUGUAGUAUGUAUAUUUUGGAAACUAUACAUGUUUUAUGGCUAGGGGUUAUAACGUUUUCAAAAGGUUUUUAAUUAAAACUUUAUUUUCAGGCCCACUCACCCUUAUUUUUCGCUCCUCCAGGUUUUAGUAGAUGAGCUUUCAUAUCGACGAGGAUUCUUGACAAAUCUUGGGGUAGACAGUUAUCUUCAAUGGUAUAAUUUCUCACCAUAUUUUACUGCACUGUACUUAUGCUCUGUCAUCACAUGUGAAUUGGGCUCAUUCUCGCUCACAGCGCACUCUUGUAUUUAGGCACUUUUAGGUUUAAAUUUAUUCAUAUUUUCCCACAUCACUACACUUUAUGGCUUCGUCACCUUCCAGGUGUCGGCCAACAUAGCUUAAUUCGAAGUCCUAGUGGACAUUCUGGGUCGGAGUGUGUCACAAUGAAUUUAUAACAUUAAUGUUUUUUUAGUAAAAUCAUUAAUUCUCCCUUAUAAUUCGCAUGACAUUAAUUGUGUACAUCAAGCAUUCAAAUAUGGGUAUUUUAGGCAUCCAUAAAAUUUUAAAUGUGUUAAGUCAAACAUAAUUAAUGAAUUUGCUGAUGUGGAAUAUAGUAAAUGGGUUUUAUUCGAUAAAAAACUUAUGUUGGCCUUUAUGUGGAGAAAAUUAAGUUUUAAGGGUUAAAGUUAUAUUUUUAGUAAAUUAUUUAGAUAAGUGUAAAGGAUCAACGGCGUUAUCUUCUACAUUCAAAAUAAAAGUUCUCUUCUUGACUUUUUAACUUUUAAAUAAAAUUAAACAAUAAGUUUGACUUUUGGUGCGGUCCAUAAUACUAAGGACCGAAUACUAAUUUUUCCUUUAUUAGUCCAUUAGGUAGGAUUGUGUGAAAUUUGUGACAAGAAAGGGUAAGAAUUUAUGCUUUUGAAGCUACCUAAAAUAAGGGCGUCAUAUAUGCCUAUCAUCAAUAUAUUUUAUCCAUAAAUACGGCGAAUACAAGAUUCACACUUAUGAAGAAGGGUAAUGCUACCCUUAGAAGAAUUUGACUUCUAGUGCUUGCAAAAAUAUAUAUGAAGAUAAAAAAAAAAAACUGAAAAUAUAACUUUAACCUGGAACUCAAUUUUCUCCAUAUAAAACCCGACGUAAAUUUUUUGCUCAAAUAAAACCCAUUGACUAGACUCUACAUAAGCAAAUUCAUUAAUUAUGUUUGACUUUACCCAUUUAAAUAUUUUUUGAUGCCUAAAACACCCUUAUUGAAUGUUUAAUGUACACAAUUAAUUCUAUGCAAAUUGUAAUAGAGAAUUAAUGAUUUUACAAAAAUAAUUUUUUGCAUAUAAAUGUAGGGAUUUGUUGGUUAGUUUGGCUCUCGAAUUCCAAUUUACCAUUACAACGUGGCCACAUUAUAUAUAGGUAAAUUAUUGUACUUUAAAAUAUAUAAAAAAAUUGUUGUCAAAGUAAAAAUAUAUAAAUUAAAGGAGAUAAAAAUUGCAGGUAAAUUAAUUUUAGGACAAAGAAAAAGUUAAGAACCAACUAUAGGUAAAUUAUUUACAUAUACAGUCUAGAUAUUUGAUUCACAUAAAAAAUGUAGGUAAAUUACGUGUGCAUAAUUUAACUACUAUUAUUGAAAUUUACCUACUAUUAUAUUAAUUUACCCACUUGCAUAAUUUAGGAAAAAUGCCAACAAAACAUGAGAAUAUUAUUUGCAUAUAUCAUAGGUAAAUUGCCAAAAGAAAUAUGAGAAUAUUUUGUUUAUAUACUGUAGGUAAAUUAUAGACUAUAGGGCGAUAUUAUUUAUAUAGGUAAAGUAGGGACGUUUGACUAUUAUAUAUAAAGAGAAUAAUUACACCAAAUAAUAAUGUAGUCAUUAUUUAAGGUAAUGCACUAGAUUGUUGUAGAAAUUAAAAAUAAAUAAAUAGAAAAAACGUCAGGAUGAUUAAUUAGAUUUUAAGGCCCUUGAUUGAAGCUAAUUUUCAAGUGUGGGUUGUGGCAAAAAUUGUAAAUAAUUUGUAUUAGUAGGUUACUUAUAUUCUUAUGUGGUAGUUUAUUUGACUGUUGGGUUAUUGUUGGAUGUUUAAUUACAUAUGAGUUUAUGUUUAGAAAUCAUGAUUUUCCAGGACCAAUAUCUAAUGAACCCACAAAAAAAAAAUUACAAAUGUUGCAAGACAAUGCUAAAAGAUACGUGACGUAUGAAAAGA
RNAcentral lists this long non-coding RNA (2428 nucleotides) under Malus domestica (apple). Its description in RNAcentral is "long non-coding RNA (MDOM_LNC019870)". Lineage: Eukaryota; Viridiplantae; Streptophyta; Magnoliopsida; Rosales; Rosaceae. The record is from RNAcentral.